This is a non-coding RNA of Odocoileus virginianus texanus, 869 nucleotides long. NCBI's taxonomy places the organism in Eukaryota, Metazoa, Chordata, Mammalia, Artiodactyla, Cervidae. The record is from RefSeq and is a predicted model, not a curated record.
UCUCCUCUUACUGAAGCACUGCCAAUUUUGUCAAACUAUUUCGAAGGUUUUACUCCGUUACUUUCAAAGGCACCAAGUCAAUGUGAUCCAGAGCAAUUUAGAAAUACCUCUAACCCACCUGGAAAUGUUAGCCAUGGAGUAUGUUUCUGCAGUGAUAUAUACCCGAAGUGGAUCACAUGCUUCUGCGAACUGACUGAGCCAUGCCCUGGCUAGAUCCUGGUGCCACAGAUCUUGCCAUCAGGAACUUACAGUCAAGGAAGAUGGAAAAGUAAAGAAGGAAAUAACUUAUGCUUGCAACAACAGACAUCUGAAUACAGAGAGGAAACAGAGAAUGCUUAGCUGGAGAUAUCUAUCUAUAGGAACAUGUUAGAAUGGCUUUGGAAAGGCAUUCAUUGUUGAGCUGAAUAUUGAAAGAUAAACAGGAACACUUAAGGAAACACUUCUGAAGCUUAGAGACCUUUUCUAAAUGAUGAUCUGUCAUCAACUUAUAAGAAACAUCACUUUUGAGGACACCAAAAGAAGUUCCAGAGAAAGCAUAUGGACAUCAGGAAAUUAUGUUGCCUUUUGAUCAUGAACAAGUCAUCUGCAAGUGUCUCCUGAGAUCCAAGAUUGGCCCAGGACUUCAUUUUCAAACAGAAUUGAUGGGGCAUUAAAGCCAAAAGCGUCUGGGACCAACCAGACAACCCAAUCAGCUUAUCUAUGCAUGAACUAUGACAGAGACCAAAUGUAACUCCAAAAAGCAUCAAAGCAAUUGCCUGUGGAUUCUGCCAAUAGAGGAACAUGCUGCCAGUGAAAAAGAGCAUCCUGGCUUAGCAGCUGGAGCUUCAAACUGCUUUUUUAAAAUGAACAAAAAUAGAAGUACAAAGAAC